AGCUUGGUGGCGCAGCAAAAGCGCGCCGGGCUCAUAACCCAGAGGUCCCUCGAUCGAAACGAGGCCAAGCUA
This 72-nucleotide transfer RNA is filed under the name Schizothecium vesticola. It matches the Rfam family "tRNA". From Rfam's summary of the family: Transfer RNA (tRNA) molecules are approximately 80 nucleotides in length. The record is from Rfam by way of RNAcentral. Lineage: Eukaryota; Fungi; Ascomycota; Sordariomycetes; Sordariales; Schizotheciaceae.